This 519-nucleotide ribosomal RNA is filed under the name Navicula cryptocephala. RNAcentral's name for it is "partial large subunit ribosomal RNA". It matches the Rfam family "Eukaryotic large subunit ribosomal RNA", at positions 54 to 651 of the family's 3401-position model. Lineage: Eukaryota; Bacillariophyta; Bacillariophyceae; Naviculales; Naviculaceae. The record is from RNAcentral.
AGGAAAAGAAACUAACAAGGAUUCCCUCAGUAAGGGCGACUGAACGGGGAAGAGCUCAGCAUGUGAAUCUGCGCUUCGGCGCCGAAUUGUGGUCUGUUGACUCUGGCAUUAUUGGCCGGGCUAAGUCCCUUGGAACAGGGCAGAUAGAGGGUGAGACUCCCGUCUGCCUGGCCUUUGGAGCUGAUGUCUACGAGUCGAGUUGUUUGGGAUUGCAGCUCAAAGUGGGUGGUAAUUCCAUCUAAAGCUAAAUAUUGGUGGGAGACCGAUAGCGUACAAGUACCGUGAGGGAAGAUGCAAAGAACUUUGAAAAGAGAGUUAAAGAGUACCUGAAAUUGCUGAAAGGGAAGCGAAGGAACCAGUGCUUGCCGAGGCAUACUUCUCCCUCCGCUUGCGGGUGGGCGCUGUGUCUUGGCCUGGGUCAGGCUUGGUUCGGCUGGUCGGAAGGGCGCGGUGGGAGUUGCCCACUGCCUGCCUGCGACUGGCAGGACCGAGGUUGACAAAAUGGUUUUCUUUACCCCG